Molecule: ribosomal RNA, 736 nt
Filed under: uncultured Armatimonadota bacterium
Lineage: Bacteria; Bacillati; Armatimonadota
Description: bacterial SSU rRNA
Rfam family: Bacterial small subunit ribosomal RNA
Source: RNAcentral
GAUAGCUUAGCGGCGAACGGUCGCGUAACACGUAAGCAACCUGCCCUGAAGUGGGGGAUAGUCUCCCGAAAGGGAGCUUAAUACCGCAUGUGGCCACUGGUCUGCAUGGACCGGUGUCUAAAGCGAGUAAUCGCGCUUCAGGAUGGGCUUGCGGCCUAUCAGCUAGUUGGUGUGGGUAACGGCUCACCAAGGCGACGACGGGUAGCUGGUCUGAGAGGAUGGUCAGCCGGACUGGGACUGAGACACGGCCCAGACUCCUACGGGGGGCAGCAAUUAGGAAUCUUGCGCAAUGGGCGAAAGCCUGACGCAGCGACGCCGCGUGACCGAUGACGUCCUUCGGGAUGUAAAGGUCUUUUGCAGGGGAAGAAGGAUGUGACGGUACCCUGCGAAUAAGCUCCGGCUAACUACGUGCCAGCAGCCGCGGUAAUACGUAGGGAGCGAGCGUUGUCCGAAUUCACUGGGCGUAAAGCGCGCGUAGGCGGGCUUUUAAGUUGGGGGUGAAAUUCCGAGGCUCAACCUCGGAACUGCCUUCAAAACUGGAAGCCUUGAGGUUUGGAGAGGGAAGUGGAAUUCCUGGUGUAGCGGUGAAAUGCGUAGAUAUCAGGAGGAACACCUGUGGCGAAGGCGGCUUCCUGGCCAUAUCCUGACGCUGAGGUGCGAAAGCUAGGGGAGCAAACGGGAUUAGAUACCCCGGUAGUCCUAGCCGUAAACGAUGGAUACUAGGUGUUAGAGGUAU